GAUCAGUGGCCUCGAGGACGAACGCUGGCGGCGUGCUUAACACAUGCAAGUCGAACGGAACUUAUAUGAUAGAGGAUUCGUCCAAUUGAUUAUAAGUUUAGUGGCGGACGGGUGAGUAACGCGUGAGUAACCUGCCUUGGAGUGGGGAAUAACACAGUGAAAAUUGUGCUAAUACCGCAUAAUGCAUUUGAGUCGCAUGGCUCUAACUGGCCAAAGAUUUAUCGGCAAAGGAUGGGCCUGCGUCUGAUUAGCUAGUUGGUGGGGUAACGGCCUACCAAGGCGACGAUCAGUAGCCGACCUGAGAGGGUGAUCGGCCACAUUGGAACUGAGACACGGUCCAAACUCCUACGGGAGGCAGCAGUGGGGAAUAUUGCACAAUGGGCGAAAGCCUGAUGCAGCAACGCCGCGUGAAGGAAGAAGGUCUUCGGAUCGUAAACUUCUGUCCUUAGGGAAGAUAAUGACGGUACCUUUGGAGGAAGCCCCGGCUAACUACGUG
Molecule: ribosomal RNA, 496 nt
Filed under: uncultured bacterium
Lineage: Bacteria
Description: bacterial SSU rRNA
Rfam family: Bacterial small subunit ribosomal RNA
Source: RNAcentral